GUUGUAGUGGUAAAAUGAUCAAAGCAACAUAGGGAAAAGGGGGUUUAUUUUGGCUUGUGGUUCCAGAGAGACAGAGGCCAUCAUAGUGGGGAAGAUGUGGCAAGAGGAACAUGAAGCUCACUCAUCGCAAUGCAUCAGAAGUUAGACAGCAGAGAGAGAACAGGGAGAACAGGAAGCCAGCUCAACCUCUGAAGCCUUAAGGCCCACCCCCAGUGACUCACUUCCUCCCGCAAGGGUCUAGCGUCUAAAGGGUUUCAGGACCUUCCCCAACAGCGCCACCAGCUGGGGAAGUACUCAGACAGGAGCCUAUGGGAAGGCUUCAUAGUCAAACGUCAGCCUCUCCAAUUACCAGCUUCUCAAAGAUAGGGCGUUGAGGCGCAAUGGUAACACAGGCAUGCGCAAAGGCUGUAGGGAACUUCUCUAGCAGUUGAGCUGUGCUCUGCUUGCUGUGUUUGGUGAUCUUGAUAUUUAGCUACAGUGAUGAUAAGUGGGAAACUUUUUUAUACUAUGUUAAAUGCAUUUUUGUAAGGAACAAAACAAACUUUGAUGUUCAAUGAUAAAGUGAUUUCUGAAGAAUGCUGAUUCAGCCACGAGAUGAAGUAAUAUGCCGCUCAUGAUAUUACAUUGCCAAAGGAAACCUAUCAAAUAAAAGCCAUAAAUACAAGAA
Molecule: long non-coding RNA, 667 nt
Filed under: Mus pahari (shrew mouse)
Lineage: Eukaryota; Metazoa; Chordata; Mammalia; Rodentia; Muridae
Description: cDNA sequence BC049739 (MGP_PahariEiJ_G0004994.1)
Source: RNAcentral